GGGCUCUUAAAAAAGCAUUCGUUUGUAUUUAGUAUACAUUUACAGCUCCCUUUCAACUUGUUUGAAAGGGGGCUUUCUAUUUUU
Bacillus sp. SA1-12 is the source of this 84-nucleotide non-coding RNA. Lineage: Bacteria; Bacillati; Bacillota; Bacilli; Caryophanales; Bacillaceae. The record is from Rfam.